RNAcentral lists this ribosomal RNA (618 nucleotides) under uncultured bacterium. RNAcentral's name for it is "bacterial SSU rRNA". It matches the Rfam family "Bacterial small subunit ribosomal RNA", at positions 202 to 842 of the family's 1533-position model. The record is from RNAcentral.
CAAAGGUGAGCCAGUACAGGAUGGACCCGCGUCUGAUUAGCUAGUUGGUAAGGUAACGGCUUACCAAGGCGACGAUCAGUAGCCGACCUGAGAGGGUGAUCGGCCACAUUGGAACUGAGACACGGUCCAAACUCCUACGGGAGGCAGCAGUGGGGAAUAUUGCACAAUGGGCGAAAGCCUGAUGCAGCAACGCCGCGUGAGUGAUGAAAGCCUUCGGGUCGUAAAACUCUGUCCUCAAGGAAGAUAAUGACGGUACUUGAGGGGGAAGCCCCGGCUAACUACGUGCCAGCAGCCGCGGUAAUACGUAGGGGGCUAGCGUUAUCCGGAUUUACUGGGCGUAAAGGGUGCGUAGGCGGUCUUUCAAGUCAGGAGUGAAAGGCUACGGCUCAACCGUAGUAAGCUCUUGAAACUGGGAGACUUGAGUGCAGGAGAGGAGAGUGGAAUUCCUAGUGUAGCGGUGAAAUGCGUAGAUAUUAGGAGGAACACCAGUUGCGAAGGCGGCUCUCUGGACUGUAACUGACGCUGAGGCACGAAAGCGUGGGGAGCAAACAGGAUUAGAUACCCUGGUAGUCCACGCUGUAAACGAUGAGUACUAGGUGUCGGGGGUUACCCCCUUCG